CCUACACUGGUGUAAAGCGGGUCCAGGCAGCCUCAUCAUCACUUCCGAGGCCGAUAAUGCAUCAGAAAACAGACUCGUACCGAAUGCAGGGAUAACUAAAAAUUAUUAUGGAAAACUGGCUAAAAAUCGUUUUUCUCUUCGUUGGAUUUCACUUGAAACUAGCCAACUCUCUCCCCGAAGUGAUAAGGAUUGGAGGUUUAUUUCAUCCUGCGGAUGACAAACAAGAAAUAGCAUUUAAAUAUGCAGUUGAGCGCAUAAAUGCUGAUAGGACGAUUUUGCCUAGAUCCCGCCUUUCUGCACAAAUUGAGAAAAUCUCUCCACAAGACAGUUUCCAUGCUUCAAAAAGAGUUUGCCAUUUGCUGCGGAGUGGGGUUGCCGCAAUAUUCGGCCCUCAGUCCUCGCAGACGGCGAGCCAUGUUCAGUCUAUCUGCGAUACUAUGGAGAUCCCACACCUAGAAACGAGGUGGGACUACAGGUUGCGCAGGGAGAGCUGUUUGGUCAAUCUUUACCCCCAUCCAACCAUUUUGUCCAAGGCCUAUGUUCAGCUUGUUGAAGCCUUCGGAUGGAAAUCCUUCACAAUUAUUUAUGAAAGCAACGAAGGACUGGUGAGGCUGCAGGAAUUACUAAAAGCCCAUGGCCCUUCUGACUUUCCCAUUGCCGUAAGGCAACUUCCUGAAGGAAAUGAUUACAGGCCAUUACUAAAGCAAAUAAAAAAUUCAGCAGAAUCUCAUAUAGUCCUAGAUUGCUCCACAGAUAAAAUAUAUAAUGUCUUAAAACAAGCUCAACAAAUAGGAAUGAUGAGUGAUUACCACAGCUAUUUAAUUACUUCACUUGAUUUACAAAGUGUAGAUUUAGAAGAGUUCAAAUACGGUGGCACUAACAUUACUGCACUUCGGUUAGUUGACCCUACAAACGAUGAAGUACAACGAAUAGUUAAAGACUGGAUAGCUUCGGAACAACGCCAAGGAAGGAAACUUGAUAUUAAUACACCCGACCUCAUCCCUGCAGAGACAGCCUUGAUGUACGAUGCAGUUCAUUUAUUUGCAAAAGCCCUUCAUGAUCUUGACAGUAGUCAGAGGAUUGAUAUUAAACCUCUGAGCUGUGAUGCAUUGGACACUUGGCCUCAUGGCUACAGCUUAAUAAAUUAUAUGAAAAUCGUUGAAAUGCGAGGGCUGACUGGAGUUAUCAAAUUUGACAAUCAAGGAUUCCGAUCCAAUUUUGAAUUAGAUAUUAUAGAAUUGACGAAAACAGGACUUCAGAAAAUUGGUUCGUGGAACUCAACUGAGGGUAUCAAUUUUACGAGAACUUACAAUGAAAUGAUCCACCAGAUCGUGGAAAAUCUGUCAAACAAAACAAUGAUAGUGACAACAAUUUUGAGUGCACCAUAUUGCAUGAGAAAAGAUUCAAGCGAUAAACUAGUAGGCAAUGCUCAGUACGAGGGCUACAGUGUCGACCUGAUAUACGAAAUAUCUAGAAUACUUCAUUUUAACUAUCAAAUCGUACUAGUUCCAGAUGGUCGAUAUGGCUCGUUUAACAAAGAAACUCGAGAAUGGGAUGGAAUGAUCAGAGAACUUCUAGAUCAGAGAGCAGAUUUAGCAAUAGCUGAUUUGACAAUUACUUAUGAAAGAGAGCAAGCUGUAGAUUUCACCAUGCCAUUUAUGAAUCUUGGAAUAAGCAUUUUAUACAGAAAACCAAUUAAACAGCCUCCAAAUUUGUUUUCAUUCUUGUCCCCAUUGUCAUUGGAUGUAUGGAUUUACAUGGCAACAGCUUAUCUUGGAGUUUCUGUUUUGCUUUUCAUUUUAGCAAGGUUUACACCUUAUGAAUGGCAGAAUCCACAUCCUUGCAAUCCGAACCCAGACCAUUUGGAAAAUCAGUUUACACUCCUCAACUGCAUGUGGUUUGCUAUCGGUUCACUUAUGCAGCAGGGAUGUGACUUCCUCCCCAAAUUCAGUCCUUAUGAAUGGGAAUCUCCACAUCCGUGUCACGAUGACGAAGCCCUUGACAACCAGUUCUCCCUCCUCAACUCAUUGUGGUUUACCAUCGGGUCGCUCAUGCAGCAAGGAUCUGAUAUUGCUCCAAAAGCAGUUUCGACUAGAAUGGUGGCUGGUAUGUGGUGGUUCUUCACGCUCAUAAUGAUCUCAUCUUAUACAGCUAACUUGGCUGCAUUCCUAACUGUUGAAAGGAUGGAUUCACCAAUUGAAAGUGCUGAAGACUUGGCAAAACAGACAAAAAUAAAAUAUGGCGCACUUGGCGGCGGUUCAACUGUCGCUUUUUUUCGGGAUUCCAACUUUUCCACUUAUCAAAGGAUGUGGUCUUUCAUGGAAUCAGCAAGGCCGAUUGUUUUCACCAGUUCCAAUUCAGAUGGAGUGGACAGGGUGAUAAAAGGCAAAGGGAAUUAUGCUUUUCUGAUGGAAUCGACAAGUAUAGAAUAUGUUAUCGAAAGAAACUGCGAUUUGACACAGAUUGGAGGUCUUCUUGACUCUAAAGGCUAUGGGAUUGCAAUGCCACCAAAUUCACCAUAUAGGACAGCUAUUAGUGGAGCUGUAUUGAAGCUUCAAGAAGAAGGAAAACUUCAUAUGCUGAAGACUCGUUGGUGGAAGGAAAAACGUGGUGGAGGUGCUUGCAGGGAUGAAACUUUGAAAACAAGCAGUGCUGCAAAUGAGCUGAGUCUGGCGAAUGUUGGUGGUGUUUUUGUAGUGUUGAUGGGCGGCAUGGGCGUUGCCUGUGUUAUAGCAGUGUGUGAAUUCGUAUGGAAGUCACGGAAAGUAGCUGUCGAAGAACGGGUGAGCAGUCCUCUUACUUGACCACUAACCCCCGACUUGGGCGACACCCCCAAUUGAACCAAUUUCAAUGUUUCAAAUAAUAAAUUUUUAAUGAUAUUCAAAUUUACAUAAUUGUUUGUUCUUGAAGUUUAAUUUGUGCUCAAAUUUUAUGUCGAUAAAUGACAAUAUCAAAUACUGUGAAAACUAUACUACUUGUUAGUUUAUUGUUUGGACUGGAACUGUUGUCUAGCUGGUGUAUAUUUGCAAUUUUUAUAUAUAUCAUUUUUUAAGUUAUACUCAUUUUUUAUGAAUGUUACCAAUUUCAAAAUUUAAUUAUAAAACCUGUUUUAAAAUAUUUUUAUUUGUGAAAUUUAAUGGAUAAGUGUAUUGCGUCUUUCUGUUUGUGCUUACGGGGUAUUAAUUAGGAGACACCUUUGUGUUCUGAAACCCCAUCAGACAUUAAAGAGAUAAAGUCAUUUGGUGAUUCGGGCCUGCAAGUGCAGACAGCAGACGCC
This is an RNA transcript of Cimex lectularius (bed bug), 3277 nucleotides long. It is a transcript of the gene named glutamate receptor ionotropic, kainate 2-like, with no coding region annotated. The transcript is spliced from 19 exons. The record is from RefSeq and is a predicted model, not a curated record. NCBI's taxonomy places the organism in Eukaryota, Metazoa, Arthropoda, Insecta, Hemiptera, Cimicidae.